Molecule: transfer RNA, 75 nt
Filed under: Bacteriophage DSS3_MAL1
Lineage: Duplodnaviria; Heunggongvirae; Uroviricota; Caudoviricetes
Description: tRNA-Asn
Rfam family: tRNA
About the family: Transfer RNA (tRNA) molecules are approximately 80 nucleotides in length. Their secondary structure includes four short double-helical elements and three loops (D, anti-codon, and T loops). Further hydrogen bonds mediate the characteristic L-shaped molecular structure. tRNAs have two regions of fundamental functional importance: the anti-codon, which is responsible for specific mRNA codon recognition, and the 3' end, to which the tRNAs corresponding amino acid is attached (by aminoacyl-tRNA synthetases). tRNAs cope with the degeneracy of the genetic code in two manners: having more than one tRNA (with a specific anti-codon) for a particular amino acid; and 'wobble' base-pairing, i.e. permitting non-standard base-pairing at the 3rd anti-codon position.
Source: RNAcentral
UCCCCGUGGCGCGCAAGGUGUGCGGUCCGACUGUUAAUCGGCUGUAGCUAGGUUCGAUUCCUAGACGGGGAGCCA